Molecule: ribosomal RNA, 423 nt
Filed under: uncultured eukaryote
Lineage: Eukaryota
Description: partial 18S ribosomal RNA
Rfam family: Eukaryotic small subunit ribosomal RNA
Source: RNAcentral
UAAUUCCAGCUGAAAAAGCGUAUACGAAUAUUGUUGCAAGUUAAAACGCUCGUAGUUGAAAUAAAAAGAGAAAGAGAGAGAAGAAAAACAAUUGUUUUUCAAUCUUUAUUCUUAUUUUUUUAAUUUUAUAUAUCUACCUAAAAAAAGAUAUAUAGUGUUUACUUUGAAUAAAUUAGAGUGCUUUAAGCAGAUUAAAAAUAUUUUGAUAUUUUUUUUGACGUUUUGAAUAAUUUAGCAUAGAAUAAAAUAAUAAGAUUUGAAAGAUAAGAUUUGGUAAUUAUGUAGCAAAUAAUGAUAAAUAGGAAUAGUUGGGGGUAUUUGUAUUGAAUAGUCAGAGGUGAAAUUCAAGGAUUUGUUCAAGACAAACAUCAGCGAAAGCAUUUACCAAAGAUAUUUCCAUUAAUCAAGAACGAAAGUUAGGGG